This 1210-nucleotide long non-coding RNA is filed under the name Homo sapiens (human). RNAcentral describes it as "HSALNT0221551". Lineage: Eukaryota; Metazoa; Chordata; Mammalia; Primates; Hominidae. The record is from RNAcentral.
GGUGGGAGGAUCACUUGAGCCUGGGAUUUUUGAGGCUGCAGUGAACUGGGUCAUGCCACUGCACUCCAGCCUGGGCAACAGAGCAAGACUCCGCUCCAAAAAACAAAAUCUAGCUGCUUUGUACUGUUCCUCUUCCCUAUCCUGCUUCCCCUAUUUCCUACUGGUUUCUCCCGGGACCAUUUCUUUUUUUUUUUUUUUUUUUUUUUUGAUACAGAGUCUCACUCUGUCACCCAGACUGGAGUGCAGUGGUUUGAUCUCAGCUCACUGCAACUUCUGCCUCCUGAGUUCAAGUGAUUCUCUUGCCUCAGCAUCCUGAGUAACUGGGAUUAUAGGCACGAGCCACCAUGCCCGGCUAAUUUUGUGUAUUUUUAGUAGAGAUGGGCUUUUGCCAUGUUGGCCAGGCUGGUAUAGAACUCCCAACCUCAGGUGAUCCGCCCGCCUUGGCCUCCCAAAGUGCUGAGAUUACAGGCGUGAGCCACCAUGCCUGGCCUGUUUUUCUUAUUAAAAUAUGGAAUCCUUCACAAAUUUGUAUGUCAUCCUUGUGCAGAGGCCAUGCUAAUCUUCUCUGUAUCAUUCCAGUUUUAGUAUAUGUGCUACCGAAGUGAUCACUGCCAUUCGUUUUUUUAAAUUCAAAUGAUUAUACCUCUUCCAGGAAGGCUUCCCUGAGAGCCAUCCUCAGAAUGAUGCUCCAGAGGGGGCCCAGAACAGGUGCUCCACACUAACCCAUGCAUGUUAUUGUCCCUACCUACAUUUACCUUAGUGUUCUAUAGUGACCAUUCCAUCUCCCCGACGAUGGGGUAAGUUCCUCAAAGGUACUCUGUUCUUUUAUUUUUUAUUUUUUUUGAGACAGAGUUUUCCUCUUGUUGCCCAGGCUGGAGUGCAAUGGCAAGAUCUCGGCUCACCGCAGCCUCUGCCUCCCGGGUUCAAGCGAUUCUCCUGCCUCAGCCUCCCGAGUAGCUGGGAUUACAGGCAUGCACCACCACACCUGACUAAUUUUCUAUUUUUAGUAGAGACGGGAUUUCUCCAUGUUGGUCAGGUUGGUCUUGAACUCCCAAUCUCAGGUGAUCCGCCCGCCUCGGCCUCCCAAAGUGCUGGGAUUACAGGCAUGAACCACCGCGCCCGGCCUACUUUGUUGUUUUCUGUACCCCCAGCACCUAGCUCAGGGCCUGGCACAUAGCAGAAGCUAAAAAUAUUUGUUUACUAUCACAAA